RNAcentral lists this ribosomal RNA (398 nucleotides) under uncultured bacterium. Its description in RNAcentral is "bacterial SSU rRNA". It matches the Rfam family "Bacterial small subunit ribosomal RNA", at positions 997 to 1396 of the family's 1533-position model. The record is from RNAcentral.
AUCUUAGAGAUAAGACGUUCCCUUCGGGGACAGAAUGACAGGUGGUGCAUGGUUGUCGUCAGCUCGUGUCGUGAGAUGUUGGGUUAAGUCCCGCAACGAGCGCAACCCUUAUUAUCAGUUGCCAGCAUUCAGUUGGGCACUCUGGUGAGACUGCCGGUGACAAACCGGAGGAAGGUGGGGAUGACGUCAAAUCAUCAUGCCCCUUAUGACCUGGGCUACACACGUGCUACAAUGGACGGUACAACGAGUUGCGAAGUCGUGAGGCUAAGCUAAUCUCUUAAAGCCGUUCUCAGUUCGGAUUGUAGGUUGCAACUCGCCUACAUGAAGUUGGAAUCGCUAGUAAUCGCGGAUCAGCAUGCCGCGGUGAAUACGUUCCCGGGUCUUGUACACACCGGGAA